Molecule: ribosomal RNA, 501 nt
Filed under: uncultured bacterium
Lineage: Bacteria
Description: partial 16S ribosomal RNA
Rfam family: Bacterial small subunit ribosomal RNA
Source: RNAcentral
AUUGAACGCUGGCGGCAGGCUUAACACAUGCAAGUCGAGCGGGGGAAGGUAGCUUGCUACCGGACCUAGCGGCGGACGGGUGAGUAAUGCUUAGGAAUCUGCCUAUUAGUGGGGGACAACAUCUCGAAAGGGAUGCUAAUACCGCAUACGUCCUACGGGAGAAAGCAGGGGAUCUUCGGACCUUGCGCUAAUAGAUGAGCCUAAGUCGGAUUAACUAGUUGGUGGGGUAAAGGCCUACCAAGGCGACGAUCUGUAGCGGGUCUGAGAGGAUGAUCCGCCACACUGGGACUGAGACACGGCCCAGACUCCUACGGGAGGUAGCAGUGGGGAAUAUUGGACAAUGGGGGGAACCCUGGUCCAGCCAUGCCGCGUGUGUGAAGAAGGCCUUAUGGUUGUAAGGCACUUUAAGCGAGGAGGAGGCUACUCUAGUUAAUACCUAGGGAUAGUGGACGUUACUCGCAGAAUAAGCACCGGCUAACUCUGUGCCAGCAGCCGCAGUAA